This 403-nucleotide ribosomal RNA is filed under the name uncultured bacterium. Its description in RNAcentral is "bacterial SSU rRNA". It matches the Rfam family "Bacterial small subunit ribosomal RNA", at positions 355 to 775 of the family's 1533-position model. The record is from RNAcentral.
UGGGGAAUAUUGCACAAUGGGCGAAAGCCUGAUGCAGCAACGCCGCGUGAGUGAUGGCGGUCUUCGGAUUGUAAAGCUCUGUCUUUGGGGACGAUAACGACGGUACCCAAGGAGGAAGCCACGGCUAACUACGUGCCAGCAGCCGCGGUAAUACGUAGGUGGCAAGCGUUGUCCGGAUUUACUGGGCGUAAAGGGUGCGUAGGCGGACCUUUAAGUGAGAUGUGAAAUCCCCGAGCUUAACUUGGGGGCUGCAUUUCAAACUGGAGGUCUAGAGUGCGGGAGAGGAGAGUGGAAUUCCUAGUGUAGCGGUGAAAUGCGUAGAGAUUAGGAAGAACACCAGUGGCGAAGGCGACUCUCUGGACUGUAACUGACGCUGAGGCACGAAAGCGUGGGGAGCAAACAG